AUGAACGCUUAUAAUAUGCUUUACACAUGCAAGUCGAACGCAAAAAAUUUUAUUUUUUGAGUGGCGCACGGGUGAGUAAAACGUCUUUAGAUUGCCUUUAAGUUUGGGUAUGUUUUAAUUUAUUAAAUAAAUCCCAGAUAAUAUAAAAAUGCUUUCAAGAAAGCAUUAAAAAAAGAAAAAUUUCGCUUAAAGAUAUCUGCACGGAGUAUUAAGUUGUUGGUAAGGUAAAAGCUUACCAAGCUGAUGAUGCUUAGUUGGUCUGAGAGGACGAACAACCACAUUGGGACUGAGACAAGGCCCUAACUUAUUGAAGGCUGCAGUGGGGAAUUUUGGACAAUGGGGGAAACCCUGAUCCAGCAAGAUUAUAUGGAUGAUCUUGAAUACUGUAAUAAUAAGUAGGUCGUAAAAUUCUAACGCCGAAAUGGAUGAUGACUAUUUCGGAAAAGUAGCUCCGGCUAACCUCGU
This 465-nucleotide ribosomal RNA is filed under the name uncultured bacterium. RNAcentral describes it as "partial 16S ribosomal RNA". It matches the Rfam family "Bacterial small subunit ribosomal RNA", at positions 30 to 506 of the family's 1533-position model. The record is from RNAcentral.